Long non-coding RNA from Aethalodelphis obliquidens (Pacific white-sided dolphin), 1545 nucleotides. RefSeq lists it as uncharacterized. NCBI's taxonomy places the organism in Eukaryota, Metazoa, Chordata, Mammalia, Artiodactyla, Delphinidae. The record is from RefSeq and is a predicted model, not a curated record. The transcript has 2 exons.
AAAAAAGGCUUAGGAAAAUCAGCAGGUGACAAACACCCCCCGCAAAGUGUGCUUGGAUAAAUGUUGGCAGGUGAUGAAAUUUGUCUAGGACAAUAUCUGCGUUUAUGUUACCCAUCAAAACCGGUUUAUUAUCCACUACUUCACACUUAUCAAAGAAGCUAUGUAAUUUACAUGCAUGGUUUUUGUUUUUGUUUUUGCGGUACGCGGGCCUCUCACUGUUGUGGCCUCUCCCGUUGCAGAGCACAGGCUCCAGACGCGCAGGCUCAGCGGCCAUCCCUGCAUCGGCAGGCGGACUCUCAACCACUGCGCCACCAGGGAAGCCCUAUGCAUGGUUUAAACAAUACUAAAAUGAACACCUACGUACGAAAUCCAGCCCAAGGAAGGAACAUCACCAAUACUCUGGGAGCCCUGCAUAAGCCAUUACCCUCAUUUCUGCCAAAGUUUCAUCACCUGUAGAGUGGGAAGAGAAGCGGUCGAGCUGUUGUGAGGAUUACACGAGUUAAUACCUGGAAAACACCAGCACAGCGACUGGCACCCCCUGAACGCCAAGCAAGCUAGCCAUGGAGAGCGUUACACUUCACCUGCCAGCCCUAGCAAGGAAGAGACCGUGGUGGACACACAGAAAGGGAAGGUAAUUCCAUUCAUCCUAAUACUGGUACCUUUCUCUGAGCCUAUUCAGAAAAAAAGAAAGAUCAGAGUCAAUACAUGAAAAGGGUUGGAAAACAAAUGGUUGUUUCAAACCCUCUCUCAGAGGACACAAUACUAAAGACUACAGUGACCACAAAACUUCCUUUCUUAUGCUUCGGAAUGUUUUUAUCCCCAGCUGCUGAGGGAAGUACAAUUUGGGGAUCCAUCUGGGCUCCUUCCUCUUCAGCUGGAGCAGGGCAUUCCAGACUGUUCUGAUGUUCAGUGUGAGCCCUCAUCCCAUCAUUUACUGAACUGUGCAACACGGACAAGUUACAAAACUCUCUGGACCUCAGUUUCCUUAUCUAUCAAGUGGGGAUAUUAUCUUUGCCUUUCAGGCUUGUUAGGAUCAUUGAUAAUUCUGAGGUGAUAUGUGUGUGAUUACUCAACAUGGUAUGUGACAUGAGAAGGUACUCAGUAAACAGGGACGCAACCAACGGCUCUGCAGGUUUCUCAAUGCAUGGGGGUGUGUCCCGCUGAAGGGGCAAGGGAGAGAUGAACUCCAGCCUGUGUGCACCAGCAAGGUUGCAUGCAUCAGGGGUGGGAAGGGCAGCGUUUUCUGAUUUCAUAAAGGUCCUCUGUGGGUUAGCAGUAGCCCAGUAGUAGUCAAUAAAUUAUAGCUAAUUUAGCAACAGAAAGAAUGAACUGCAACAUUAAAGAGCUUGGAUAAACAGUCCCCUAAACACUGUAGAGUUGUCACUGUUGACCUAUAAAAUUCUGUUGUUACUAAUGGUAAGUUUUAAAUCAUGAUUGUUGAUAGAGAGUGAAGUAGUAUUCAUGUCAGCCAUGAUUUGACCGGAUUUGACUGGCAUUAAUAAAGGCCGCUGUUAGCUUUUAUAUAAACAAAUAUGUUUCAUUCUG